RNAcentral lists this ribosomal RNA (435 nucleotides) under uncultured bacterium. RNAcentral's name for it is "partial 16S ribosomal RNA". It matches the Rfam family "Bacterial small subunit ribosomal RNA", at positions 28 to 507 of the family's 1533-position model. The record is from RNAcentral.
GAUGAACGCUGACGGUAUGCUUAACACAUGCAAGUCGAACGGACUCUUCGGAGUUAGUGGCGGACGGGUGAGUAACGCGUGAGAAUCUGGCUUUGGGUUCGGGACAACCACUGGAAACGGUGGCUAAUACCGGAUGUGCCGAGAGGUAAAAGAGAAAUUGCCUGAAGAUGAGCUCGCGUCUGAUUAGCUAGUUGGUGAGGUAAAGGCUCACCAAGGCAGCGAUCAGUAGCUGGUCUGAGAGGAUGACCAGCCACACUGGGACUGAGACACGGCCCAGACUCCUACGGGAGGCAGCAGUGGGGAAUUUUCCGCAAUGGGCGAAAGCCUGACGGAGCAAUACCGCGUGAGGGAAGAAGGCUCUUGGGGUGUAAACCUCUUUUCUUAGGGAAGAACAAAAUGACGGUACCUAAGGAAUCAGCAUCGGCUAACUCCGUG